Molecule: ribosomal RNA, 424 nt
Filed under: uncultured bacterium
Lineage: Bacteria
Description: bacterial SSU rRNA
Rfam family: Bacterial small subunit ribosomal RNA
Source: RNAcentral
GACCCGCCGUUCUCACUACGGAGCGGCUGACCGGGAGGAGUAACACUGUGGUGACACGUGCUCCUUCAGNUUCGUGAACAACCCAGUGGAAACUUGGGCUAAUACCGGAUACGUCCGUAUUGAGAAAGAUUAUCGCUGAAGGAUCGGCCCGCGUCUGAUUAGCUAGUUGGUGGGGUAACGGCCCACCAAGGCGACGAUCAGUAUCUGGUCUGAGAGGAUGAUCAGCCUCACUGGGACUGAUACACGGCCCAUACUCCUACGGGAUGCAGCAGUGGGGAAUAUUGGACAAUGGGCGCAAGCCUGAUCCAGCCAUGCCGCGUGGGUGAUGAAGGCCUUAGGGUUGUAAAGCCCUUUCGGCGGGGAAGAUAAUGACUGUACCCGCAGAAGAAGCCCCGGCUAACUUCGUGCCAGCAGCCGCGGUAAU